GAAGUUAUAACGAGGAAGUUACUAUCAAAAUAAUCCAAUGGGCAAAACUGUUUUCUCUCUCUCUCUCUCCCAACGAACCAGCCCACCAUCUCCUUCGGUUUCUCCAGCUAAUCCCUUCAACCUCCAUAACUGCCGCCACAGCCUAUGGCCAGCCUCGAGACCGGACCCAAAACGUCCGGCUAGACCUCGCCGUCACCCCCCAUCCCUUCGGCCCCCUCGUCAGCUG
Molecule: long non-coding RNA, 226 nt
Filed under: Prunus persica (peach)
Lineage: Eukaryota; Viridiplantae; Streptophyta; Magnoliopsida; Rosales; Rosaceae
Description: long non-coding RNA (PPER_LNC004847)
Source: RNAcentral